RNAcentral lists this ribosomal RNA (216 nucleotides) under Allolucifera butyrica. RNAcentral describes it as "Lucifera butyrica rRNA". The record is from RNAcentral. Lineage: Bacteria; Bacillati; Bacillota; Negativicutes; Veillonellales; Veillonellaceae.
UAGUGAUUCUCGUUAAAACGGAUGACCUGUUCCCAUACCGAACACAGUAGUUAAGCCCACAAACGCCGAAAGUCAGCCGUCUUGCGGCGAAUAGAACAUAUUGUAUAGAUUACUGAAAUAGAAAGCAGAGUAUCGGCGACACACAGGCUCUAUUCAAAGACACGCGUGUCUUCCAUCGGCUGGAAACGGCCUGGGAGAAUAGGAAGUUGCCGGUUA